This 490-nucleotide ribosomal RNA is filed under the name uncultured bacterium. RNAcentral's name for it is "bacterial SSU rRNA". It matches the Rfam family "Bacterial small subunit ribosomal RNA", at positions 29 to 494 of the family's 1533-position model. The record is from RNAcentral.
AACUAACGCUGGCGGCGUGCCUAACACAUGCAAGUCGUACGAGAAAGUUGGCUUCGGCCGAUGAGUAAAGUGGCGCACGGGUGAGUAAUGCGUGGAUAAUCUGCCCUUUAGUUGGGAAUAACGUACCGAAAGGUGCGCUAAUACCUGAUAAUACUGCAUAACUACUGUUGUGUAGUCAAAGAAGGCCUCUGUUUACAAGCUUUUGCUGAAGGAUGAGUCCGCGUACCAUUAGCUGGUUGGUGGGGUAAUGGCCUACCAAGGCUACGAUGGUUAGCUGGUCUGAGAGGAUAAUCAGCCACACUGGAACUGAGACACGGUCCAGACUCCUACGGGAGGCAGCAGUGAGGAAUAUUGCGCAAUGGGGGCAACCCUGACGCAGCAACGCCGCGUGAGUGAGGAAGGUUUUCGGACCGUAAAGCUCUGUCGAGCGGGAAGAAAUGUAUCAUGGCUAAUAUCCAUGAUACUUGACGGUACCGCUAAAGGAAGCACC